GACGAACGCUGGCGGCGUGCCUAAUACAUGCAAGUCGAACGCUUUUUCUUUCACCGGAGCUUGCUCCACCGAAAGAAAAAGAGUGGCGAACGGGUGAGUAACACGUGGGUAACCUGCCCAUCAGAAGGGGAUAACACUUGGAAACAGGUGCUAAUACCGUAUAACACUAUUUCCGCAUGGAAGAAAGUUGAAAGGCGCUUUUGCGUCACUGAUGGAUGGACCCGGGGUGCAUUAGCUAGUUGGUGAGGUAACGGCUCACCAAGGCAACGAUGCAUAGCCGACCUGAGAGGGUGAUCGGCCACACUGGGACUGAGACACGGCCCAGACUCCUACGGGAGGCAGCAGUAGGGAAUCUUCGGCAAUGGACGAAAGUCUGACCGAGCAACGCCGCGUGAGUGAAGAAGGUUUUCGGAUCGUAAAACUCUGUUGUUAGAGAAGAACAAGGAUGAGAGUAAAACGUUCAUCCCUUGACGGUAUCUAACCAGAAAGCCACAGCUAACUACGUGCCAGCAGCCGCCGUAA
This 522-nucleotide ribosomal RNA is filed under the name uncultured bacterium. RNAcentral's name for it is "partial 16S ribosomal RNA". It matches the Rfam family "Bacterial small subunit ribosomal RNA", at positions 28 to 523 of the family's 1533-position model. The record is from RNAcentral.